This 429-nucleotide ribosomal RNA is filed under the name Chloroflexota bacterium. RNAcentral describes it as "Chloroflexi bacterium partial 16S ribosomal RNA". It matches the Rfam family "Bacterial small subunit ribosomal RNA", at positions 355 to 776 of the family's 1533-position model. The record is from RNAcentral. Lineage: Bacteria; Bacillati; Chloroflexota.
UGGGGAAUAUUGCACAAUGGGCGCAAGCCUGAUGCAGCCAUGCCGCGUGUGUGAAGAAGGCCUUCGGGUUGUAAAGCACUUUCAGCGGGGAGGAAGGCGUUAAGGUUAAUAACCUUGGCGAUUGACGUUACCCGCAGAAGAAGCACCGGCUAACUCCGUGCCAGCAGCCGCGGUAAUACGGAGGGUGCAAGCGUUAAUCGGAAUUACUGGGUGUAAAGCGCACGCAGGCGGUCUGUCAAGUCGGAUGUGAAAUCCCCGGGCUCAACCUGGGAACUGCAUUCGAAACUGGCAGGCUAGAGUCUUGUAGAGGGGGGUAGAAUUCCAGGUGUAGCGGUGAAAUGCGUAGAGAUCUGGAGGAAUACCGGUGGCGAAGGCGGCCCCCUGGACAAAGACUGACGCUCAGGUGCGAAAGCGUGGGGAGCAAACAGG